CCCUUAGAUGUUCUGGGCCGCACGCGCGCUACACUGAUGCAUUCAACGAGUUUCUUCCUGGUCCGAGAGGAAUGGGUAACCUUUUGAAAGUGCAUCGUGAUAGGGAUAGACUAUUGCAAUUAUUGGUCUUCAACGAGGAAUUCCUAGUAGACGUAGUUCAUCAGACUGCAUCGAUUACGUCCCUGCCCUUUGUACACACCGCCCGUCGCACCUACCGAUUGAAUGGUCCGGUGAAGCCUCCGGAUUGGCGCGCACCUCGGUGCCGCCGAGAAGUUGGCUAAACCUUACCAUUUAGAGGAAGGUGAAGUCGUAACA
Molecule: ribosomal RNA, 315 nt
Filed under: uncultured eukaryote
Lineage: Eukaryota
Description: partial 18S ribosomal RNA
Rfam family: Eukaryotic small subunit ribosomal RNA
Source: RNAcentral